This 497-nucleotide ribosomal RNA is filed under the name uncultured bacterium. RNAcentral describes it as "partial 16S ribosomal RNA". It matches the Rfam family "Bacterial small subunit ribosomal RNA", at positions 28 to 507 of the family's 1533-position model. The record is from RNAcentral.
GAUGAACGCUGGCGGCGUGCCUAAUACAUGCAAGUCGAGCGAACAGACGAGGAGCUUGCUCCUCUGACGUUAGCGGCGGACGGGUGAGUAACACGUGGAUAACCUACCUAUAAGACUGGGAUAACUUCGGGAAACCGGAGCUAAUACCGGAUAACAUGUUGAACCGCAUGGUUCAACAGUGAAAGACGGUUUUGCUGUCACUUAUAGAUGGAUCCGCGCCGCAUUAGCUAGUUGGUAAGGUAACGGCUUACCAAGACAACGAUGCGUAGCCGACCUGAGAGGGUGAUCGGCCACACUGGAACUGAGACACGGUCCAGACUCCUACGGGAGGCAGCAGUAGGGAAUCUUCCGCAAUGGGCGAAAGCCUGACGGAGCAACGCCGCGUGAGUGAAGAAGGUCUUCGGAUCGUAAAACUCUGUUAUUAGGGAAGAACAAAUGUGUAAGUAACUAUGCACGUCUUGACGGUACCUAAUCAGAAAGCCACGGCUAACUACGUG